This is a long non-coding RNA of Harmonia axyridis, 448 nucleotides long. RefSeq lists it as uncharacterized. Lineage: Eukaryota; Metazoa; Arthropoda; Insecta; Coleoptera; Coccinellidae. The transcript is spliced from 2 exons. The record is from RefSeq and is a predicted model, not a curated record.
AUUCAAAGAAAUGGUUUUUAUCAAGAGAAUAAAAGAUUCUGUGAAUACACGCACCGAUAUUGGUAGUUUGAGUUCGGUGUAUUUUAACUUAAUUAAUAAGGUAAAUGUAGAUAGUUUUAUCGCGCGGUAGUUCGUGUUUCCUUUUGAAUCGGGUGUUAGUAUGUCUCACACAUUUUAAUGCAGUCUGUCUUGCCUAAUACAUUAGUUUAUACUUAUACGUCUUAUUUGAUGUGGUUUUUUAUGAUAUCCUGAUAAUGCCAUUUUAUUUUAUGGACAUUUAUUUGAUGAUUUCGAUGUAUUCGAAUGAUUUAUAACCGUUAUUCAUAGGCCUGAUGAAGGAGCUAAAUGCUCAGAAACGUUGCCAUUGAAUAAAUUGUAUACAACUGUUCCUUGUGACUGAUAUUCCUCACCAUCGAAUUAAAUCUUCGGAACGAUAAUUUUAUCUGAA